This 760-nucleotide ribosomal RNA is filed under the name uncultured Prevotella sp. Its description in RNAcentral is "bacterial SSU rRNA". It matches the Rfam family "Bacterial small subunit ribosomal RNA", at positions 28 to 776 of the family's 1533-position model. The record is from RNAcentral. Lineage: Bacteria; Pseudomonadati; Bacteroidota; Bacteroidia; Bacteroidales; Prevotellaceae.
GAUGAACGCUGGCUACAGGCUUAACACAUGCAAGUCGAGGGGAAACGACGGGGAAGCUUGCUUCCCCGGGCGUCGACCGGCGCACGGGUGAGUAACGCGUAUCCAACCUGCCUCUGACUGAGGGACAACCCGUCGAAAGUCGGCCUAAUACCUCAUGGCAUCGUCUGCGGGCAUCCAACGACGAUUAAAGAUUUCAUCGGUCAGGGAUGGGGAUGCGUCUGAUUAGCUUGUUGGCGGGGUAACGGCCCACCAAGGCUACGAUCAGUAGGGGUUCUGAGAGGAAGGUCCCCCACAUUGGAACUGAGACACGGUCCAAACUCCUACGGGAGGCAGCAGUGAGGAAUAUUGGUCAAUGGGCGAGAGCCUGAACCAGCCAAGUAGCGUGCAGGAAGACGGCCCUAUGGGUUGUAAACUGCUUUUAUGCGGGGAUAAAGUGAGGGACGUGUCCUUCAUUGCAGGUACCGCAUGAAUAAGGACCGGCUAAUUCCGUGCCAGCAGCCGCGGUAAUACGGAAGGUCCGGGCGUUAUCCGGAUUUAUUGGGUUUAAAGGGAGCGUAGGCCGUGGAUUAAGCGUGUUGUGAAAUGCAGGUGCUCAACGUCUGCACUGCAGCGCGAACUGGUCCACUAGAGUGUGCGCAACGCAGGCGGAAUUCGUCGUGUAGCGGUGAAAUGCUUAGAUAUGACGAAGAACUCCGAUUGCGAAGGCAGCUUGCGGGAGCACAACUGACGCUGAAGCUCGAAAGUGCGGGUAUCGAACAGG